Long non-coding RNA from Alligator mississippiensis (American alligator), 590 nucleotides. RefSeq lists it as uncharacterized. Lineage: Eukaryota; Metazoa; Chordata; Crocodylia; Alligatoridae. The record is from RefSeq and is a predicted model, not a curated record. The transcript is spliced from 3 exons.
CAUCCCCCACCCCUCUCCCAGUCUGGUAAUACCUGCCCCAGCUCCAAGCACUUGGAAGAAAAAAGCCCCGGCUCAGCAGGUGCAUGAGCCCCACAACUCCCCGCUUCACUCUCCCAGCCUCCCCACGGGUGCCCUGCCUGAGCCAGCUCCAGUUCUUUAAGACAAAAAACCUCCUGAAUAAAACCCCUGGACUCACCGCUCCUGCCGGUGGGGGAUGAUCCCUGUUUCUCCCUACUGCCCUACACCACAUGGAGGGCUCUGCAAGAGUCCCAGAAACCCCAGGGCUGCUGCAGAAGCGGUAUGCUCUGCCAGAACGUAUUUGCUUUAAUGUACUUUAUCAGGUGGUCCUUAACAUAGCUCUGAUGUCUUCUGCUGCAGCACAAUAUACAGAUACACGAAGUAAAAAGCGGCAUGUACCUGUCUGUCAUCAGAACAGCCUUUAACAUUUAUUCGCCUACUUUGCUACAGAAUACACAACUGCAGCAGCUGGCAGAUACAUUCAGGAAAACAACUGGUCCCUGUCAACCUUCUGAGGCCAAACAAGCAGUUAUAAAGUAACAAAUAAAGCUUGGUGUUUUGUUUUGCCAAUA